AUUGAACGCUGGCGGCAUGCCUUACACAUGCAAGUCGAACGGUAACGCGGGGCAACCUGGCGACGAGUGGCGAACGGGUGAGUAAUGCAUCGGAACGUGCCCAGUAGUGGGGGAUAGCCCGGCGAAAGCCGGAUUAAUACCGCAUACGACCUACGGGUGAAAGGGGGGGAUCGCAAGACCUCUCGCUAUUGGAGCGGCCGAUGUCAGAUUAGCUAGUUGGUGGGGUAAAGGCCUACCAAGGCUACGAUCUGUAGCUGGUCUGAGAGGACGACCAGCCACACUGGGACUGAGACACGGCCCAGACUCCUACGGGAGGCAGCAGUGGGGAAUUUUGGACAAUGGGCGAAAGCCUGAUCCAGCCAUGCCGCGUGCGGGAAGAAGGCCUUCGGGUUGUAAACCGCUUUUGUCAGGGAAGAAAUCUUCUGAGUUAAUACCUCGGGAGGAUGACGGUACCUGAAGAAUAAGCACCGGCUAACUACGUGCCAGCAGCCGCGGUAA
RNAcentral lists this ribosomal RNA (498 nucleotides) under uncultured bacterium. RNAcentral describes it as "partial 16S ribosomal RNA". It matches the Rfam family "Bacterial small subunit ribosomal RNA", at positions 29 to 523 of the family's 1533-position model. The record is from RNAcentral.